This 1439-nucleotide ribosomal RNA is filed under the name metagenome. RNAcentral's name for it is "bacterial LSU rRNA". It matches the Rfam family "Bacterial large subunit ribosomal RNA", at positions 1498 to 2925 of the family's 2925-position model. The record is from RNAcentral.
CCUGAUAUGUUGGUUCAAGCCUGUAGUCGUGCCUGGUAGGUAAAUCCGCCGGGCUUAGAUGAGGGGUGAUAACGAGAGGGCUUGCCCUCGAAGUGAGUGAUACCCUGCUUCCAGGAAAAGCCACUAAGCUUCAGCUGCACACGACCGUACCGCAAACCGACACUGGUGCGCGAGAUGAGUAUUCUCAGGCGCUUGAGAGAACUCGGGAGAAGGAACUCGGCAAAUUGACACCGUAACUUCGGAAGAAGGUGUGCCUUUAGUAGGUGAAGUCCCUCGCGGAUGGAGCCCAAUGAGGUUGCAAAGAAUCGGUGGCUGCGACUGUUUAAUAAAAACACAGCACUCUGCAAACACGAAAGUGGACGUAUAGGGUGUGACGCCUGCCCGGUGCUGGAAGAUUAAGUGAUGGGGUGCAAGCUCUUGAUCGAAGUCCCAGUAAACGGCGGCCGUAACAAUAACGGUCCUAAGGUAGCGAAAUUCCUUGUCGGGUAAGUUCCGACCUGCACGAAUGGCGUAACGAUGGCCACACUGUCUCCUCCCGAGACUCAGCGAAGUUGAAAUGUUUGUGAUGAUGCAAUCUCCCCGCGGAAAGACGGAAAGACCCCAUGAACCUUUACUGUAGCUUUGUAUUGGACUUUGAACGGAUCUGUGUAGGAUAGGUGGGAGGCUUUGAAGCCGGGUCGCUAGAUUCGGUGGAGCCAACGUUGAAAUACCACCCUGGUGCGUUUGAGGUUCUAACCUAGGUCCGUAAUCCGGAUCGGGGACAGUGCAUGGUAGGCAGUUUGACUGGGGCGGUCUCCUCCCAAAGCGUAACGGAGGAGUUCGAAGGUACGCUAGUUACGGUCGGACAUCGUGACGAUAGUGCAAUGGCAUAAGCGUGCUUAACUGCGAGACUGACAAGUCGAGCAGAUGCGAAAGCAGGACAUAGUGAUCCGGUGGUUCUGUAUGGAAGGGCCAUCGCUCAACGGAUAAAAGGUACUCUGGGGAUAACAGGCUGAUACCGCCCAAGAGUUCAUAUCGACGGCGGUGUUUGGCACCUCGAUGUCGGCUCAUCUCAUCCUGGGGCUGUAGCCGGUCCCAAGGGUAUGGCUGUUCGCCAUUUAAAGAGGUACGUGAGCUGGGUUUAAAACGUCGUGAGACAGUUUGGUCCCUAUCUUCCGUGGGCGCUGCAGAUUUGAGGAAGCCUGCUCCUAGUACGAGAGGACCGGAGUGGACGCACCUCUGGUGUACCUGUUGUCACGCCAGUGGCAUCGCAGGGUAGCUAAGUGCGGAAGAGAUAACCGCUGAAAGCAUCUAAGCGGGAAACUCGUUUCAAGAUGAGAUCUGCCGGGGCCUUGAGCCCCCUGAAGAGUCGUUCUAGACCAGGACGUUGAUAGGUCAGGUGUGGAAGCGCAGUAAUGCGUUAAGCUAACUGAUACUAAUUGCUCGUGCGGCUUGACCCU